Molecule: ribosomal RNA, 677 nt
Filed under: uncultured Methanosaeta sp.
Lineage: Archaea; Methanobacteriati; Methanobacteriota; Methanomicrobia; Methanotrichales; Methanotrichaceae
Description: bacterial SSU rRNA
Rfam family: Archaeal small subunit ribosomal RNA
Source: RNAcentral
CCCAUCUCCGAAAGCGCUUAGCGCCCGAGGAUGGGUCUGCGGCGGAUUAGGUUGUUGGUGGGGUAACGGCCCACCAAGCCGAAGAUCCGUACGGGCCAUGAGAGUGGGAGCCCGGAGAUGGACCCUGAGACAAGGGUCCAGGCCCUACGGGGCGCAGCAGGCGCGAAAACUUUACAAUGCGGGCAACCGCGAUAAGGGGACCUCGAGUGCUGGGUUACAAACCUGGCUGUUGGGCUGCCUAAAAAGCAGUCUAUAGCAAGGGCCGGGCAAGGCCGGUGGCAGCCGCCGCGGUAAUACCGGCGGCCCGAGUGGCGGCCACUUUUAUUGGGCCUAAAGCGUCCGUAGCCGGGCUGGUAAGUCCUCCGGGAAAUCUGGUCGCUUAACGAUCAGACUGCCGGAGGAUACUGCCAGCCUAGGGACCGGGAGAGGCCGGGGGUAUUCCCGGGGUAGGGGUGAAAUCCUGUAAUCCUCGAGGGACCACCAGUGGCGAAGGCGUCUCACCAGAACGGAUCCGACGGCAAGGGACGAAAGCUAGGGGCACGAACCGGAUUAGAUACCCGGGUAGUCCUAGCCGUAAACGAUACUCGCUAGGUGUCGGCCACGGUGCGACCGUGGUCGGUGCCGUAGGGAAGCCGUGAAGCGAGCCACCUGGGGAGUACGGCCGCAAGGCUGAAACU